This 500-nucleotide ribosomal RNA is filed under the name uncultured bacterium. Its description in RNAcentral is "partial 16S ribosomal RNA". It matches the Rfam family "Bacterial small subunit ribosomal RNA", at positions 30 to 523 of the family's 1533-position model. The record is from RNAcentral.
AUUGAACGCUGGCGGCAUGCCUUACACAUGCAAGUCGAACGGCAGCACGGGAGCAAUCCUGGUGGCGAGUGGCGAACGGGUGAGUAAAGUAUCGGAACGUGCCCAGUCGUGGGGGAUAACGUAGCGAAAGUUACGCUAAUACCGCAUACGAUCUAUGGAUGAAAGCGGGGGAUCGCAAGACCUCGCGCGAUUGGAGCGGCCGAUAUCAGAUUAGGUAGUUGGUGGGGUAAAGGCUCACCAAGCCGACGAUCUGUAGCUGGUCUGAGAGGAUGACCAGCCACACUGGGACUGAGACACGGCCCAGACUCCUACGGGAGGCAGCAGUGGGGAAUUUUGGACAAUGGGCGAAAGCCUGAUCCAGCCAUGCCGCGUGCAGGAUGAAGGCCUUCGGGUUGUAAAGCUCUUUCGGCCGGGAAAAAAUCGCAUGGAUUAAUACUCUGUGUGGAUGAUGGUACCGGAAUAAGAAGCACCGGCUAACUACGUGCCAGCCGCCGCAGUAA